AUGCAAAAACUCAGGCUGGACCACCGGGGCUUCACUGCUGGUGGAACGACAGAGGGCUUGGCUGCUACCAGGGUGAUCCAAAUGGAGUAUCUAGCUGUAAUGAUAUGUUUCAUGCGAGAGGACAUAAAUUUGCAUCCUAUUUUUCUGCCAAUUAGUUCCAAAUCACAAAUGUUUGUGCUAUUAGUGACAAUUUGGUGGAGAAGACGAGUCAUAUAUACAGCCAAUGUGUUAAUUUCUGUGAUGCGGCAAGCAAAGUUGGCAAUAGUACAGUAUAACCAUCAUGAUCUGCACAGGGAUAUCACCUAUGUGCAUAAGUCAUAA
Molecule: ribosomal RNA, 321 nt
Filed under: Triticum aestivum (bread wheat)
Lineage: Eukaryota; Viridiplantae; Streptophyta; Magnoliopsida; Poales; Poaceae
Description: partial small subunit ribosomal RNA
Source: RNAcentral